Homo sapiens (human) is the source of this 661-nucleotide long non-coding RNA. RefSeq lists it as uncharacterized. The transcript is spliced from 2 exons. Lineage: Eukaryota; Metazoa; Chordata; Mammalia; Primates; Hominidae. The record is from RefSeq and is a predicted model, not a curated record.
CAUCUCAAAAAUAAAAACAAAACAAAACAAAAAAGAAACCAGUCUGAGAGGCGGCCGGGAUCUGGGGCACCCGAGAGGCUCAGCGUGGGAAACGCACCAGAUGGCAGCAGGUGGAACCAGCAGAGGCUGUGUGCGCCAGCCCUGAAGCUCCAGCCCCUCAAGUGGGACCAGGGAAGCGGUGACGGUAUCCACACAACAGACCACACAGCUGCCGCAAAGAACAGGGCCAGGCGUGAGCGAGGGGGCAGAGGAACUGGAUCCCGGGCACUGCCGGUGGGGUGUAAAACCGUCCUGCUGUGGCCAGAGGCAGUUUGGUCAAACAUAGAACAACCACGGGUCUGGCAAGUCUGCCUCUGGCCACGCACCCAGAAGAGCUGAAGUCAGAGUCUCAAAGACAUCACCCAUGUUCACAGCAGCCUUAUUCACAACAGCCAAAAGGUGGAAACCACCCAGUGUCCAUCGAGGGACGAACGGAGAAGCAAAAUGAGGUCCACCGACACGGCGGAAUAGUAUUCAGCCCUGAAAUGGAAGGACAUUCCGACGCAGGCUACAACAUCACCCUUGGUAGAAUAAGUCAGCCAGCCACAAAAUGAAACUGGCCCGAUGGUCCCCUGGAACUCACGUUCAUGGUUUCUUUUGAAUAAACAUAGAAAUGAGCCUG